Molecule: non-coding RNA, 363 nt
Organism: Saimiri boliviensis boliviensis (Bolivian squirrel monkey)
Lineage: Eukaryota; Metazoa; Chordata; Mammalia; Primates; Cebidae
Source: RefSeq, a predicted model, not a curated record
ACAAAGCCUGCCUUAGCCCUGAGGCCAAGCCAGCCCCUAGUGCUGUGUCCCAACAUUUAAAGAUCAUAGAAGUUCAACUUCUUGCAAUAUAUUCUCAAGAGGUUUUCUUGUUUACCCCUCAGGACAGGUCUGUAAGGAUGGGUAUGGUUAGUCCCAGUUCACAGAUGACCAAGCUCAGGCUCACAGAGCCUAAGUCACCUGCCCAGACCCUUCGUGACAGAGAAGUUCGAGAAUGGUGGUACUGUUGCGCCCUCUCGUGACAGAAGCCUGAACUACAGCUAGAACAUCGCGAGCAGGAAGACGCUUCUUGAUGGAGGAGUUCGAUAACGGUGGUACCAUGGCGCCCCCUGGUGACAGAAGCCU